Non-coding RNA from Coturnix japonica (Japanese quail), 331 nucleotides. The record is from RefSeq and is a predicted model, not a curated record. NCBI's taxonomy places the organism in Eukaryota, Metazoa, Chordata, Aves, Galliformes, Phasianidae.
CCCCUCUGAGCGAUUUUUGUGUUAAUUUUCAUACUUUCCCAAAGGUGACAAAGUUGUAACCUCAGGGAAGUUCGGCUCUGCGGGUCGGGCCGGGCCGGGGCAGGAAGAGCCCAGCGAUCCCUAUCUGUGAACAGCACACAGACACUAUUUAGCUGACUGUUCAAAUAAACCUGGAUGAGUGCUGAAAUGAAAGAGGGGGGAAAAAAAACAUGCCCCAAAAGAAACGCGUGAGGAUAAAAAUAAAACGGCACCCAAACGAGCAGAAUCAGCUCGGAGCUUGUUCGCAGUGCCCGCACUGAGUUUAGUUUUCUAGGCGUUAUGUUAGGGUAAG